RNAcentral lists this ribosomal RNA (408 nucleotides) under uncultured eukaryote. Its description in RNAcentral is "partial small subunit ribosomal RNA". It matches the Rfam family "Eukaryotic small subunit ribosomal RNA", at positions 587 to 972 of the family's 1831-position model. The record is from RNAcentral.
AGCUUCAUGAGUUUAUGUCAAAGUUGUUGUAGUUAAAAAGCUCGUAGUUGAAAGGAAGAGCAGGUUUGUGGGUGUGGCAGUGUGGCGCAAGCGAAAGUUUGUGUCAACUGCUGAACUCCACUGCUCUUUUAACGGUUCGAGUGGCAACAUUCGAGCCUGUUUAUUUUGAAAAAAUUGGACUGAUCAAAAGAAGAUUUGCAUUUCGCAAACUUUGAAAUCUUUUAAACUUUUUAGCAUGAGAUAAUAAAACAAGACAUUGGUUUGGCGGGCGCGCAAGCGUGCGUCAGAGACACCUUUGUAAUGAUUAAUAGGGAUAAUUUGGGAUAUAUAUAUUAAGAAGUUAGAGGUGAAAUUCUUAGAUUUUCUUAAGAUAAACAUAUGCGAAAGCAUUUAUCAGAGAUAUUUUCA